AGUGGCAUGCUCUAGACCCGAAGCGGAGUGAUCUACCCAUGGCCAGUGUGAAGCGACGGUAAGACGUCGUGGAGGCGCGAACCCACUUAGGUUGAAAACUGAGGGGAUGAGUUGUGGGUAGGGGUGAAAGGCCAAUCAAACUCCGUGAUAGCUGGUUCUCCCCGAAAUGCAUUUAGGUGCAGCGUCGCAUGUUUCACCUCGGAGGUAGAGCUACUGGAUGGCCGAUGGGCCCUACAAGGUUACUGACGUCAGCCAAACUCCGAAUGCCGAGGUGUGAGAGUGCGGCAGUGAGACUGUGGGGGAUAAGCUUCAUAGUCGAGAGGGAAACAGCCCAGAUCGCCGGCUAAGGCCCCUAAGCGUGUACUAAGUGGAAAAGGAUGUGGGAUCGCUGAGACAGCCAGGAGGUUGGCUUAGAAGCAGCCACCCUUGAAAGAGUGCGUAAUAGCUCACUGGUCAAGUGGUCCUGCGCCGACAAUUUAGCGGGGCUCAAGUACACCGCCGAAGCCGCGGCAUUCAUACAAUAACCUCCUCCGGGCAGGUGUAUGGAUGGGUAGGGGAGCGUCGUGUGGCCAUAGAAGCGCCGGAGUGAUCCAGGCGUGGAGGCCACACGAGUGAGAAUGCAGGCAUGAGUAGCGAAUGACGAGUGAGAAACUCGUCCGCCGAAUGAUCAAGGGUUCCUGGGUCAAGCUAAUCUGCCCAGGGUGAGUCGGGACCUAAGGCGAGGCCGACAGGCGUAGUCGAUGGACAACGGGUUGAUAUUCCCGUACCCGUGUGUGCGCGCCCAUGGUGAAUCAGUGAUACUAACCGCCCUGAACGUCCUAGAGCAUCCUUCGGGAUGACGUGGACCGGAUGCGCGGGACCUGAACUGGUAGUAGCCAAGCGAUGGGGUGACGCAGGAAGGUAGCUGGGCCAGUCAGUGGUUGUACUGGUGUAAGAGUGUAGGCCGUGACAUAGGCAAAUCCGUGUCACAUCAAGGCUGAGACUUGAUGCAUACCCGUUGUGGGGAAUUCAGUGAUCCUAUGCUGCCGAGAAAAGCCUCUAGUGAGUUCAUACACGGCCCGUACCCCAAACCGACACAGGUGAUCAGGUAGAGAAUACCAAGGCGAUCGAGAGAACUGUGGUUAAGGAACUCGGCAAAAUGCCCCCGUAACUUCGGGAGAAGGGGGACCACGCCCGGUGACGAUCCUUGCGAUCUGAGCUGGGGGUGGUCGCAGAGACCAGAGAGAAGCGACUGUUUACUAAAAACACAGGUCCGUGCGAAGACGUAAGUCGAUGUAUACGGACUGACGCCUGCCCGGUGCUGGAAGGUUAAGAGGACCGGUUAGCCGCAAGGCGAAGCUGAGAAUUUAAGCCCCAGUAAACGGCGGUGGUAACUAUAACCAUCCUAAGGUAGCGAAAUUCCUUGUCGGGUAAGUUCCGACCUGCACGAAUGGCGUAACGACUUCUCUGCUGUCUCGACCACAGACUCGGCGAAAUUGCACUACGAGUAAAGAUGCUCGUUACGCGCGGCAGGACGAAAAGACCCCGGGACCUUUACUAUAGCUUGGUAUUGGCGUUCGAUUCGGUUUGUGUAGGAUAGGUGGGAGACUGUGAAGCAUGCACGCCAGUGUGUGUGGAGUCGUUGUUGAAAUACCACUCUGAUCGUAUUGGACGUCUAACCUCGGCCCAUGAUCUGGGUUAGGGACAGUGCCUGGUGGGUAGUUUAACUGGGGCGGUUGCCUCCUAAAGAGUAACGGAGGCGCCCAAAGGUUCCCUCAGCCUGGAUGGCAAUCAGGUGUUGAGUGCAAGUGCACAAGGGAGCUUGACUGUGAGACUGACACGUCGAGCAGGGACGAAAGUCGGGACUAGUGAUCCGGCACCGGCAAGUGGAAGCGGUGUCGCUCAACGGAUAAAAGGUACCCCGGGGAUAACAGGCUGAUCUUCCCCAAGAGUCCAUAUCGACGGGAUGGUUUGGCACCUCGAUGUCGGCUCGUCGCAUCCUGGGGCUGGAGUAGGUCCCAAGGGUUGGGCUGUUCGCCCAUUAAAGCGGCACGCGAGCUGGGUUUAGAACGUCGUGAGACAGUUCGGUCUCUAUCCGCCGCGCGCGUAAGAAACUUGAGGAAGGCUGUCCCUAGUACGAGAGGACCGGGACGGACGAACCUCUGGUGUGCCAGUUGUUCCACCAGGAGCAUCGCUGGUUAGCUACGUUCGGAAGGGAUAACCGCUGAAAGCAUCUAAGCGGGAAGCCUGUUCCAAGAUGAGGUUUCUCACCACCUUCGCGUGGUUAAGGCCCCCCACAGACCAUGGGGUUGAUAGGCCGGAACUGGAAGCGCAGCAAUGCGUGCAGGUGACCGGUACUAAUCGGCCGAGGGCUUACACAC
This 2360-nucleotide ribosomal RNA is filed under the name Dietzia maris. RNAcentral's name for it is "partial 23S ribosomal RNA". It matches the Rfam family "Bacterial large subunit ribosomal RNA", at positions 698 to 2925 of the family's 2925-position model. Lineage: Bacteria; Bacillati; Actinomycetota; Actinomycetes; Mycobacteriales; Dietziaceae. The record is from RNAcentral.